RNAcentral lists this ribosomal RNA (810 nucleotides) under uncultured bacterium. Its description in RNAcentral is "bacterial SSU rRNA". It matches the Rfam family "Bacterial small subunit ribosomal RNA", at positions 8 to 796 of the family's 1533-position model. The record is from RNAcentral.
AGAGUUUGAUCAUGGCUCAGAACGAACGCUGGCGGCGUGGAUAAGACAUGCAAGUCGAGCGAGAUUUUUUCCUGUAGCAAUACAGGGAAAAGUCUAGCGGCGAACGGGUGCUUAACACGUGGGCAACCUGCCAAGAAGUGGGGGAUAGCUCGCCGAAAGGCGAAUUAAUACCGCAUGUGAUCAGAGAGGACAUCCUUUCGAAAUCAAAGUCGGGGCAACCUGACGCUUCUUGAGGGGCCCGCGGCCUAUCAGCUAGUUGGUGAGGUAACGGCCCACCAAGGCUUUGACGGGUAGCUGGUCUGAGAGGACGACCAGCCACACUGGGACUGAGACACGGCCCAGACACCUACGGGUGGCAGCAGUCGAGAAUUUUUCUCAAUGGGGGAAACCUUGAAGGAGCGACGCCGCGUGGAGGAUGAAGGUCUUCGGAUUGUAAACUCCUGUCAUUGGGGAACAAUGCGUGACGGUUAACUGCCGUCGCGUUGAUAGUACCCGAAGAGGAAGAGACGGCUAACUCUGUGCCAGCAGCCGCGGUAAUACAGAGGUCUCAAGCGUUGUUCGGAUUCAUUGGGCGUAAAGGGUGCGUAGGCGGCGCGGUAAGUCGGGUGUGAAAUCUUGGAGCUUAACUCCGAAACUGCAUUCGAUACUGGCGAUCUUGAGUCCGGGAGAGGUGAGUGGAACUCCGAGUGUAGAGGUGAAAUUCGUAGAUAUUCGGAAGAACACCAGUGGCGAAGGCGGCUCACUGGCCCGGUACUGACGCUGAGGUGCGAAAGCGUGGGGAGCAAACAGGAUUAGAUACCCUAGUAGUCC